UCUCCUGCUGCAAUUCAACUUGGCUGGGGGCCGGUAGUGAGAUCUAGGGCUACUUCAACAAAACUUUGCUGCCCUUCCUGCUCCUCUUGUCUUCUUUUCUCCUGAUACCUUUUGAUGCUCUUCACAUGUUAUUUGCAUAGCAAAGGCACUAAGCUGUCCAGGAAGAGAGGGCACCACUUCCACCCCAAUAAGUCUUUUUUUCCCCUUCCUUUCUCUUUUUCCUUUCCUUUUUUUUUGGAGAGGGGGGGGGGCGAGAGAGAAAGAGGGUUUGCAAAGACAGCAUCUCAGGAUGAUAGCCUGGAUGUAUUAUUGAAGGCAUUUCUUUUGCUGCCAAAUCGGAAAGUCCGUUCUCUAAGGCCCGGGUUAACCAGACUAUAGGGUUUUAUUCUGGCUGCAGAAUAACUAACUGACUGCUGUGGCUUUGCAAAGAGGGGCAGCAAAAAAAACUUAGAGAGGAGAGGGAGUACGUGAGUCGUCCAGUGCAAUCUCUAUUGUUUGAAACUUACUUUUUAUCAGAAUUUGAAGAUGAAAACGGUUAAAAAAUGGCCAUACUUCAGUAGCUAAUCAGCCUAAUGCUUUGCUUAUGAAAAAAUUUCCAUCAUUUUUUUUUCAUUUUGGAUUGAGAAAAUGAAUCCACAUUUAGAAGAAAGUAUGGGAUGUUGGAAAAAAGUACCUGCUAAACAGUGGAACAUCUAAUAACUAAUUUGCAAGAAGUUUUAAAGAAAUAGAAUUGUUAUGCUUCGAUUUUGGUAUGGUAUUGACUCUCUAGCACAUAGGUAGCCCUCCAAAAAAUCAUCCAGUUUUCUAAAUUAUGGAAAUUUUGUGGAAGACGUUGACCUGGAUUUUGAGCCUCUUCAUGGCUUCAUCGGAAUUUCGUAGUGACCAUAGGCUUUCAUACAGUUCACAAGAGGAAUUCCUGAAUUAUCUAGAACAUUACCAGCUAACUAUUCCAAUAAGGGUUGAUCAAAAUGGAGCUUUUCUCAGCUUUACUGUGAAAAAUGAUAAACACUCCAGAAGAAGACGGAGUAUGGACCCUAUCGAUCCACAGCAGGCAGUAUCUAAGUUAUUCUUUAAACUUUCAGCCUAUGGAAAGCACUUUCACCUAAACUUGACUCUCAACACAGAUUUUGUGUCCAAACACUUUACAGUAGAAUAUUGGGGGAAAGAUGGACCCCAGUGGAAACAUGAUUUUUUAGACAACUGCCAUUAUACAGGAUACUUGCAAGAUCAACAUAGUACAACUAAAGUGGCUUUAAGCAACUGUAU
This is a non-coding RNA of Manis javanica (Malayan pangolin), 1266 nucleotides long. The record is from RefSeq and is a predicted model, not a curated record. NCBI's taxonomy places the organism in Eukaryota, Metazoa, Chordata, Mammalia, Pholidota, Manidae.